Molecule: ribosomal RNA, 260 nt
Filed under: Escherichia coli
Lineage: Bacteria; Pseudomonadati; Pseudomonadota; Gammaproteobacteria; Enterobacterales; Enterobacteriaceae
Description: partial 23S ribosomal RNA
Rfam family: Bacterial large subunit ribosomal RNA
Source: RNAcentral
GGACCGGAGUGGACGCAUCACUGGUGUUCGGGUUGUCAUGCCAAUGGCACUGCCCGGUAGCUAAAUGCGGAAGAGAUAAGUGCUGAAAGCAUCUAAGCACGAAACUUGCCCCGAGAUGAGUUCUCCCUGACUCCUUGAGAGUCCUGAAGGAACGUUGAAGACGACGACGUUGAUAGGCCGGGUGUGUAAGCGCAGCGAUGCGUUGAGCUAACCGGUACUAAUGAACCGUGAGGCUUAACCUUACAACGCCGAAGGUGUUU